GAUGAACGCUGGCGGCGUGCUUAACACAUGCAAGUCGAACGGAAAGACGCUGCGCUUGUUGCGUGCACGUUUGGCGAGGGGGGGUGUGACACGCGAGUAUCCUCCACCUGUCUUUCUGAGAUCUUUUCGGGACUGGGGCGCAUAUCGCGUAGGAGCUCCUGCUCCGUAUGGGGCGAUGGAAAGUUUCGGCGGUUGGGGCUGGACUCGCGGCUUAUCAGCUUGUUGGUGUGGUAGUGGCUUACCAAGGCUUUGACGGCUAGCCGGCCUGAGAGGGUGACCGGCCACAUUGGGACUGCGAUACGGACCAGACGCCUACGGGAGGCAGCAGUGGGGAAUAUUGCACAAUGGGCGGAAGCCUGAUGCAGCAACGCCGCGUGCGGGAUGACGGCCUUCGGGUUGUAAACCGAUUUCGCCUGUGACGAAGCGUGAGUGACGGUAAUGGGUAAAGAAGCACCGGCUAACUACGUG
RNAcentral lists this ribosomal RNA (468 nucleotides) under uncultured bacterium. RNAcentral's name for it is "partial 16S ribosomal RNA". It matches the Rfam family "Bacterial small subunit ribosomal RNA", at positions 28 to 507 of the family's 1533-position model. The record is from RNAcentral.